AGAGAUCAAGUACAUAAAGGGCAAUAACGUAUGCAUAUUAUCGCAUUGCUUGAAUAUACGAAAUUCAUUAGUUGCAAAUGAAUAUUUAAGACCGAUAGGGAUUUGAAAUGUGAUAUGGAGAGGUACAAGACCUGUAUUCUUGUUAAAGUCUUUACAUAGAAAGAAUGCAUCGAUUAUAAAGAGUUUUCUCUCUGAUUUCAUCGAAAGACUCUUUCAAAAUUAUAAUGGUUUUAGUGGUGCAUUUUGAU
Molecule: long non-coding RNA, 248 nt
Filed under: Carica papaya (papaya)
Lineage: Eukaryota; Viridiplantae; Streptophyta; Magnoliopsida; Brassicales; Caricaceae
Description: long non-coding RNA (CPAP_LNC015214)
Source: RNAcentral